RNAcentral lists this long non-coding RNA (1247 nucleotides) under Zonotrichia albicollis (white-throated sparrow). Its description in RNAcentral is "lncRNA (ENSZALG00000001745.1)". Lineage: Eukaryota; Metazoa; Chordata; Aves; Passeriformes; Passerellidae. The record is from RNAcentral.
UCCCAUCCAUUUUUUCCAUCCAUUUAUGGGAUUUCCAUCCAUUUUUCCCAUCCAUUUUAUGGGGUUCCCAUCCAUUUAUGGGGUUCCCAUCCAUUUUUUCCAUCCAUUUUAUGGGAUUCCCACACAUUUCAUGUGGUUUCCAUCCUUUCCAUGGGGUUCCCAUCCAUUUAUGGGGUUCCCAUCCAUUUGUAGGGUUCCCAUCCAUUUUAUGGGAUUUCCCUUCAAUUCAUGGGGUUCCCAUACAUUUAAUGGAGUUUCCACCAAUUUUAUGGGGUUCCCAUCCAUUUUAUGGGGUUUCCAUCAAUCUCAUGGGGUUCCAAUCCAUUCCAUGGGGUUCCCAUUCAUUUAUGGGAUUUUCAUCCAUUUUUUCCAUCCAUUUAUGGGGUUCCCAUCUAUUUUUUCAAUCCACUUUAUGGGGUUCCCAUCCAUUUAUGGGGUUCCCACCCAUUUUUUCCAUCCAUUUAUGGGGUUCCCACCCAUUUUUUCCAUCCAUUUAAUGGGGUUCCCAUCCAUUUAUGGGAUUCCCAUCCAUUUAUGGAGUUCCCAUCUAUUUUAUGGGGUUUCCAUCCAUUUUAUGGGAUUUCCCUUUAAUUCAUGGGGCUCCCAUGCAUUUAUGGGGUUCCAAUCCAUUUAUAGGGUUCCCACUCAUUUAUGGGGUUCCCACCCAUUUAUGGGGUUCCCAUCCAUUUAUGGGGUCCCCAUCCAUUUUUCCCAUCCAUUUUAUGGGGUUCCUAUCCAUUUCUUCCAUCCAUUCCAUGGGGUUUCCAUCCAUUUUAUGGGUUUUUCACCAAUUUUAUGGGGUUCCCAACCAUUUAUGGUGUUCCCAUCCAUUUUUUCCAUCCAUUUAUGGGGUUCCAAUCCAUUCCAUGGGGUUCCCAUCCAUUUUUUCCAUGCAUUUUAUGGGUUCCCAUCCAUUUUAUGGGGUUCCCAUCUAUUUAUGGGGUUCCCACACAUUUAUGGGGUUUCCACCAAUUUUAUGGGGUUCCCAUCCAUUUUUUUCCAUCCAUUUUAUGGGGUUCCUAUCCAUUUCUUCCAUCCAUUUAUGGGGUUCCCAUCCAUUUAUGGGGUUCCCAUCCAUUUUUCCCAUCCAUUUUAUGGGGUUCCUAUCCAUUUCUUCCAUCCAUUCCCCGGGGUUCCCAUCCAUUUAUGGGAUUCCCAUCCAUUUAUGGGGUUCCCAUCCAUUUUUUCCAUCCAUUUAUGGGAUUUCCAUCCAUUUUUCCCAUCCAUUUUAUGGGGUUCCCAUCCAU